This is a long non-coding RNA of Oncorhynchus keta (chum salmon), 6653 nucleotides long. RefSeq lists it as uncharacterized. The transcript is spliced from 2 exons. NCBI's taxonomy places the organism in Eukaryota, Metazoa, Chordata, Actinopteri, Salmoniformes, Salmonidae. The record is from RefSeq and is a predicted model, not a curated record.
CUCCCUCACCAUCUCUCCCCCUUCUUGCAUUCCUCUCUUAAAAUAUUUCAUUCCCACAUUCCUGUUGUCAAAUAUUACAUUCCACAUUCUUCUCCUCCACUCCUCGCGCCUCACAUCUUUUCUUCUCUUUGGUGAACAAAUAUUAGUGAGUCUCUCCCUGAAGAGCAUUUCUAGGGGUCCGGUCUCUGUAAUAGCUGUCUUUGUUAGUGCCUGAGUUUGGGGUCUUCUUUACGAUAGGUGUUGGGUCCUCGGGCAUUCAGUUCUGACAUCCUUCAGUUGUACUCUGAAAUGGUUCCAGUGGAAAUUGUAGAAUUGUCUUUAAAUGAACCUUAACCAGAAGGAAUAUUUUACCCUUGUUCUCUCUCUUCCUCUGGUUUAAUGAAUUCUGUGGCAAGCAACAACCACCAAGGACUUGUUGUUUCUCCCCCCAACACCCCCUUUAGGGGUAUCCGUAUUCUGUCAGUCAGUGCUCCGCUCGUUUCUCUCGGCUGGUUAAACGGGUUACGGUUGAUGACUCUUUUUGUUUCCUGUGCUGCUGAAAACAAUAGCAUAAUAAUGCAGUCAUAAGGUUCUAGCGUCUGUAAGGCGGGUUCUAGCGUCUGUAAGGCGGGUUCUAGCGUCUGUAAGGCGGGUUCUAGCGUCUGUAAGGCGGGUUCUAGCGUCUGUAAGGCGGGUUCUAGCGUCUGUAGGGCAGGUUCUAGCGUCUGUAGGGCAGGUUCUAGCGUCUGUAGGGCAGGUUCUAGCGUCUGUCGGGCAGGUUCUAGCGUCUGUCGGGCAGGUUCUAGCAUCUGUAGGGCAGGCUCGAGCACUCGUAGGGCAGGUUCUAGCGUCCGUAGGGCAGGCUCUAGCGUCCGUAGGGCAGGCUCUAGCAUCCGUAGGGCAGGCUCUAGCAUCCGUAGGGCAGGUUCUAGCAUCCGUAGGGCAGGUUCUAGCAUCCGUAGGGCAGGCUCUAGCAUCCGUAGGGCAGGCUCUAGCAUCUAUAGGGCAGGUGUAAUCUGUAGAUCUACUAAACAUCUGCUGUUGGGCAGAGCCUGGGUCAGGUGUUGAUGUGACUGUCAAUUGAUGGUACAGGUAGAGGACUGUGGAGUGCAGCGAGUGGGAGAGGCAUUUAGAUCUCAUACACACACAGACACACACAAAUAGACACGAAUAGACACACACACACACAUCAAUUGAUGAUUAGUGGAACAGGUGCACUCAUUGACUUCCUCUUCAGAGCCCUAAUUACAGGGCUGUCGCUCUAGAGACGUCAAGUCAAGCCCUAAGUGGGUCUAUCUGGCACACACUGUACACACACACACACACACACACACACACACACACACACACACAGUACAAACACACCUACACACUCACUGAGAACACGUAUACUACACACACUAACUCACAUACACAGACUAACAUGCACUAUGAGCAUACAACCUCAACUGAUUCGUUAACCUUUAAUUAUCACCCAUCACUGGCCAUCCGAUGCCUAAACACAUCUCCUUCCAAAUCAGUGUUUCUCUCUCUUCUCCCACCUCUGUGUUCCGCCUGCUGAGUAAUGAAGAUGCACUGUGUGUGUAUAUAUAUGUAUGACACACUAAAAGUACGUGGACACCUCUUCAAAUUAGGCUAUUUUAGCCACCUCUGUUGCUUGACUGAAAGCUGUAUAAAAUCGAGCACACAGCCAUGCAAUCUCUAUAGGCAAACAUUGACAGUAGACUGGCCACACGGAAGAGCUCAGUGACUUUCAACGUGGCACCGUCAUAGGAUGCCACCUUUCCAACAAGUCAUUUCGUUACAUUCCUGUCCUGCUAGAGCUGCCCCGGUCAACUGUAAGUGCUGUUAUUGUGAAGUGGAAACGUCUAGGAAGAACAACGGCUCAGCCGCGAAGUGGUUGGCCACACAAGCUCACAGAACGUGACCGCUGAAGCGCGUAGUGAGUAAAAAUCGUCUGGCCUCGGUUGCAGUCGAUCAGUCGAUUAGUCGAUCGUCAAACAUUUCUGUAAAAAAACAACGAUAACCUUGUUCCCAUUUUAAUUUAUUUUGGUCUCGGGCUGUUGGCGGUAGGUGAACCCGAUUCAGCUGCCCUGCACGCCUGGUGGGUGAACUGUUGCCAUUUUGAACCAUUUCAUGUAUCUGGCCUGGAGAGCCAAUCAAGUGCACUAGACCUACCGCUGGCCAAUCAGAUGGCUCAGAUUACCAUGUCAGCAGUAACAGAAAGCUACAGAAAAGUUGAUACUGUGAGAUUUCAAAAUGUUUAAAACCAUGACUAGAGAGGGACUCGAUGAAUACAGGAAAGAGCUGCUGUUUUUAUGAGUGAGUUCAUGUUCAAAUUCUUUCUCAGCACUGUCAGCACUCUAUUCAACACUUUUAUAAGCCAUAAAAUACACAUUCUUCCUAUUUCCACUCAGCACUGCAACAAGCACUGCAGCAGUAAUGAAUGAGUAGGAAAGUGAAACCUAUAGGCUUGUGUUGUUAUUAUUAGCAGCUUGGGUAUUUUUUAAUAUCCAGGAAUAUUACACUUUCUCUGUUCAUAGGAGUAACAACAUGAAUUUGUGCAUGAGUCAGAAAUAAUGUGGUAAGACUCGAGUUUCCCCAGCCUUUUUGGUCAGGGUCAGUGAAGGAAUGGGAGAGCGGAGGGAUGUUGAGAGGCGGACCCUCCGUCUGCUGCUCUCUCCCUCCGCUGAGACUGACCGCCAAAUGCAGGCACCAUCAGCCCAGUAAAAUAAAAAAUAAAGCAAAUUAUUUAAAUGCUCACUCAGCUGUGCCUCACAAGAAAUACAACAACGGAUCUAUUACCAGUGUGAUCAUAUAAUUUUUUUAAAUGACCCGAACAACAAUUAAUUUGCAGGGCAAUUCAAGCAAAGCCAAUAUGUGUUGAUAAUGUAUUGGGCCUAUAUUUCUAUGGUACUGUUUUUACCUCAUUGUUAUAGUACUGUUUUUAAUUGGUUAAUGAUGCGCAGGCUUAUGUUUUUAUGUCAUGUAAUAAAACAAAUCUGAGUGGUAGAUCUUGGCUUGCAUUUUGACUCCGAAAUCGAUUUGACCUCAAAGUUUGGUGGCCUCGGUUCUAGUUUUCCCUGUUAACACUAUCAAUGUUUCCCUUUACUGUGGCAAUUGUGAUUGAAUCAACAAAAUAUUAACCUCUCUGGGAUAUUCGGGACGGUAGCAUCCCACCCCGCCAACAGCCAGUGACAGUGCAGGGCGCCAAAUUCAAAACAACAAAAAUCUCAUAAUUAAAAUUCCUCAAGCAUACAAGUAUUUUACACCAUUUUAAAGAUAACAUUCUCGUUAAUCCAGCCACCGUGUCUGAUUUCAAAAAGGCUUUACAGCGAAAGCACCACAAACGAUUGUUAGGUCACCACCAAGUCACAGAAAAACAGCCAUUUUUCCAGCCAAAGAGAGGAGUCACAAAAAGCAGAAAUAUCGAUAAAAUUAAUCACUAACCUUUUAUGAUCUUCAUCAGAUGACACUCAUAGGACUUCAUGUUACACAAUACAUGUAUGUUUUGUUUGAUAAAGUGCAUAUUUAUAUCCAAACAUCUCAUUUUACAUUGGCGUGUUAUGUUCAGUAUUUCCAAAACAUGCAGUGAUUUUGCAGAGAGCCACAUCAAUUUACAGAAAUACUCAUUGAUAAAAGAUACAACUAUUAUACAUGGAACUUUAGAUAAACUUCUCCUUUAUGCAACCGCUGUGUCAGAUUUCAAAAAAACUUUACGGAAAAGCAUACCAUGCAAUAAUCUGUGUACGGCGCUCAGAGACCAAAACAGCCAAAGAGAUAUCCGCCAUGUUGUGGAGUCAACAUUAGUCAGAAAUAGCAUUGUAAAUAUUCACUUGCCUUUGAUCUUCAUCAGAAUGCACUCCCAGGAAUCCCAGUUUCACAAUAAAUGUUUGAUUUGUUCGAUAAAGUUAAUAAUUUAUGUCCAAAUACCUCCUUUUGUUAGGGUGUUUGGUAAGUCCAGCCGAAAGGUCAGACAAAAGUCAAAAAAGUUAUAUUACAGGUCGUAGAAACAUGUCAAACGAAGUAUUGAAUCAAUCUUUAGGAUGUUUUUAUCAUAAUUCUUCAAUAAUAUUUCCACCAGAGAAUUCCUUUGUCUGUAGAAAAGCAAUGGAACGCAAGCUAACUUUCACAUGACCUCGCGUCACGAGCUCGUGGCAAUCUGCCAGACACCUGGCUCAAUCCCCUCUCAUUCGGCCCCACUUCACAGUAGAAGCAUCAAACAAGUUUCUAAAGACUGUUGACAUCUAGUGGAAGCCUUAGGAAGUGCAAAAUGACCCCACAGACACUGGAUAUUGGAAUAGCAAUGAGUUGAAAAACUACAAACCUCAGAUUUCCCACUUCCUGGUUGGAUUUUUCUCAGGAUUUCUGCUAUAUGAGUUCUGUUAUACUCACAGACAUCAUUCAAACAGUUUUAGAAAACCCUCUGAAGUUUCUAUCCAAAUAUACUAAUUAUAUGCAUAUUCUAGCUUUUAUGGCUGAGUAGUUGGCAGUUUACUCUGGGCACCUUAUUCAUCCAAGCUACUAAAUACUGCCCCCCAGUCACCAAGAAGUUAACCACUUUCAAUGUAACAUACCGAAACACAACAAAUUAUGCAAGGGAUUGUUGUCUGCAAAACGCAUUGGAGUAGAAUUCUAUUGCAUUGACACGCACUGCUCAACCCGUACUCUACACAGACCGGUGCAGCAUAAACAAUCAGAGCUGCAGUAGGCCUAUAUGCAAAUAGACAAUUACCAUAUAUGGAUCUGUGCCAUUUACUUUGAACUGGACAGUGUUUACAGCAUGAGCGGUCGUGAGUAGAUGCACUUGUUUUGAGAUCAAAGCGAGAGUUGUGUGUAGCCACGUGUACAUUUGUUCAUAUCUUUUGCUAGUUAGUGAGUUAUUAGCCCAGUUAUAGAACAUUUGUAGUCAGCAAUAGAGGAGUGAUUGAAUCCUACAGUGCACAAAACAUGUACAUUUCUAGGCAUCUUUGAAAAGCUGCUACUGUAGGCUGAAUGAUAGAACAGCUAUUUCCAUGUUAAAAUGUUAUGGAAUGCAUUUUCUCCAUAGUUUUUUGAUGGCAGGCCACUCUGGUAGGCCUAUAUUAUGAUCAAAUAGCCACAGUAGCCUAUUUGGCCACUAUUAUAACUAACUUAAAGGAGGGUACAGCCUCAGUGUUCACAGUAAACACACGCUGGAAGUUGCACUGAAUUUUCAAGUUUGAGAUCAGCAGCCCAGAAAUUUGCUCAGUGCCCCAAGAAAUUUGAGGGAACAUUGGUUGCAACACUCACUACUGAGUUCCAAACUGCCUCUGGAAGCAAAGUUUUUAGGCCACACAAGCUCACAGAACAGGACAGCUGAGUGCUGAAGCACCUAAAAAUCACCUGUCCUUGGUUGCAACACUCACUACUGAGUUCCAAACUGCCUCUUGAAGCAACGUCAGCACAGGAACUGUUCGUCGGGAGCUUCAAUAAAUCACCCAUCACCAUCUGGCAGUCCCACGGACAAAUCUGGGUUUGGUUGAUGCCAGAAGAAUGCUACCUGCUCGAAUGUAGUGCCAACUGUAAAGUUUAGUGGAGGAGGAAUAAUGGUCCGGGGCUGUUUUUCAUGGUUCGGGCUCGGCCCCCCCGAUUCUGUGCUUCCAACUUUGUGGCAACAGUUUGGGGAAGGGCCUUUUCUGUUUCAGCAUGACAAUGCCCCCGUGAACAAAGCAAGGUCCAUACAGAAAUGGUUUGUUGAGAUCUGUGUGGAAGAACUUGACUGGCCUGCACAGAGCCCUGACCUCAACUCCAUCAACUGCAAGCCAGGCCUAAUCACCCAACAUCAGUGCCCAACCUCUCUAAUGAUCUUCUGGCUGAAUAGAAGCAAGUCCCUGCAGAAAUGUUCCAACAUCUAGUGGAAAUCCUUCCCAGAAGAAUGGAGGCUGUUAUAACAGAAAAUUCAUAUUAAUGCACCUGCCCACACACACACAUACCUGUCCACACACACACACACACACACACACACACACACACACACACACACACACACACACACACACACACACACCUGUCCUCACACACACACACACCUGUCCUCACACACACACACACACACACACACACACACACACACACACACACACACACACACACACACACACACACACACACACACACCACCUGUCCUCUCACACACACACAUCACCUGUCCUCUCACACACACACACACACACACACACACACACACACACACACACACACACACACACACACACACACACACACACACACACACACACACACCUGUCCUCUCAUACACACCUGUCCACACACACACACACACCUGUCCACACACACACACCUGUCCACACAUACACAUGUCCACACACCUGUCCUCUCACACACACCUGUCCACACACACACACCUGUCCACACACACACACACACCUGUCCACACAUACACAUGUCCACACACCUGUCCUCUCACACACACACACCUGUCCUCUCACACACACACACACCUGUCCUCUCACACACACACACACACACACACACACACACACACACACACACACACACACACACACACACACACACCACCUGUCCUCUCACACACACACACACAUCACCUGUCCUCACACACACACAUCACCUGUCCUCACACACACACACACACACACACACACACACACACACACACACACACACACACA